GUAUGUUUCAGUACGAUCAAGAACACACUUCAGGACUUCAACAUGCUCCUCUUUUUUCUUGGAGGAUGAACCACUGGUGGAAUCGCCGGAUCAACCUUGAUUGUGUAUUCUCCAGCGAAGAAACCUAGACCUUUGAACAAUGUAGGGUGUUCUUGAAGAACAUCUUCAGUGGACCGCCGAACAUGAAAUCCACGUGAGAACGAAACUUCUUCCAAGAGCGAGGUAAUUCACCACUAUCCCAA
Long non-coding RNA from Haliotis rubra (blacklip abalone), 242 nucleotides. RefSeq lists it as uncharacterized. NCBI's taxonomy places the organism in Eukaryota, Metazoa, Mollusca, Gastropoda, Lepetellida, Haliotidae. The transcript has 3 exons. The record is from RefSeq and is a predicted model, not a curated record.